RNAcentral lists this ribosomal RNA (399 nucleotides) under uncultured bacterium. Its description in RNAcentral is "bacterial SSU rRNA". It matches the Rfam family "Bacterial small subunit ribosomal RNA", at positions 59 to 449 of the family's 1533-position model. The record is from RNAcentral.
AAGUCGUACGGAGAGUGGGGCAACUCACUCUCAGUGGCAAACGGGUGAGUAACGCGUGAAUAACCUGCCUUUGAGAAGGGGAUAACUGUCCGAAAGGAUAGCUAAUACCCUAUAUUGCCUUUUGUCACUAAGGCAAAAGGUGAAAGCGAGGCUGUCAAAGGCUUCGGCUCAAAGAGGGGUUCGCGUCCUAUCAGGUAGUUGGUGGGGUAACGGCCUACCAAGCCAAUGACGGGUAGCUGGUCUUAGAGGAUGAUCAGCCACAGUGGGACUGAGACACGGCCCGCACCCCUACGGGGGGCAGCAGUGGGGAAUCGUGGGCAAUGGGCGCAAGCCUGACCCCGCAAUGCCGCGUGAGGGAAGAAGCCCUUCGGGGUGUAAACCUCUGUCAGAUGGGAAGAU